AUUACUUAAUUACACAAAGGGUAGCAGCAGCCACAGAAGCUACUACAUAUUUAGGCACCAGUCACAAACAAAAGGCACAUACUUCAUGUUACACACUACUCCUUCAUUCUUUCGGAUAUCUCCACAGUAUUUAACAUUAUCAAACGUCUGUGAAGCGAAGGUACCCCUUCUUCGACGGGAGGUCCAUAGUCUUGUAGCCCUGAGGGAACGUCUUCUUGGCCUCCUCCUCAGACACCGACGGAGAAAUGACCACCGGAUCCCCCGGCUUCCAGUUCGCCGGGGUUGCCACCUUGUGCUUGUUCGCCUUCUGCAGCGACUCCAACACCCUCACCACCUCGUCCAUGUUCCGCCCCGUGCUCGCCGGGUACAGAAAGCUCAGCUUCACCUAUAACCAAACAAAUUAAUUAACCCCAAAGUUUAGCCUUCGUACACACAAUUACACAUAAUUAAG
Molecule: long non-coding RNA, 451 nt
Filed under: Malus domestica (apple)
Lineage: Eukaryota; Viridiplantae; Streptophyta; Magnoliopsida; Rosales; Rosaceae
Description: long non-coding RNA (MDOM_LNC011922)
Source: RNAcentral